This 254-nucleotide ribosomal RNA is filed under the name uncultured bacterium. RNAcentral describes it as "partial 16S ribosomal RNA". It matches the Rfam family "Bacterial small subunit ribosomal RNA", at positions 524 to 776 of the family's 1533-position model. The record is from RNAcentral.
UACGUAGGGUGCGAGCGUUGUCCGGAAUUAUUGGGCGUAAAGGGCUCGUAGGCGGUCUGUCGCGUCGAUCGUGAAAACUUGGGGCUUAACCCUGAGCUUGCGGUCGAUACGGGCAUGACUGGAGUUCGGCAGGGGAGACUGGAAUUCCUGGUGUAGCGGUGAAAUGCGUAGAUAUCGGGAGGAACACCGGUGGCGAAAGCGGCUCACUGGACCGUCUCUGACGCUGAGGUGCGAAAGCUAGGGUAGCAAACGGG